Prolemur simus (greater bamboo lemur) is the source of this 132-nucleotide small nucleolar RNA. NCBI's taxonomy places the organism in Eukaryota, Metazoa, Chordata, Mammalia, Primates, Lemuridae. The record is from Ensembl.
UAAGCAGGUUGCAAUUACUGUGCUUCAUUUUGAGGACGCACUGCCAUUAUCCUGCUGAAAGACAAGCUGUGGUAAUCAUUUUUGAUUUUGCCUUUAAGAGGGUAAAAUCAUGACAGAUUGACAUGGGCAAUU